This 515-nucleotide ribosomal RNA is filed under the name uncultured bacterium. RNAcentral's name for it is "partial 16S ribosomal RNA". It matches the Rfam family "Bacterial small subunit ribosomal RNA", at positions 28 to 523 of the family's 1533-position model. The record is from RNAcentral.
GAUGAACGCUGGCGGCGUGCCUAAUACAUGCAAGUCGAGCGAAUGGAUUGAGAGCUUGCUCUUAUGAAGUUAGCGGCGGACGGGUGAGUAACACGUGAGUAACCUGCCCAUAAGACUGGGAUAACUCCGGGAAACCGGGGCUAAUACCGGAUAACAUUUUGAACCGCAUGGUUCGAAAUUGAAAGGCGGCUUCGGCUGUCACUUAUUGAUGGACCCGCGUCGCAUUAGCUGGUUGGUGAGGUAACGGCUCACCAAGGCAACGAUGCGUAGCCGACCUGAGAGGGUGAUCGGCCACACUGGGACUGAGACACGGCCCAGACUCCUACGGGAGGCAGCAGUAGGGAAUCUUCCGCAAUGGACGAAAGUCUGACGGAGCAACGCCGCGUGAGUGAUGAAAGCUUUCGGGUCGUAAAACUCUGUUGUUAGGGAAGAACAAGUGCUAGUUGAAUAAGCUGGCACCUUGACGGUACCUAACCAGAAAGCCACGGCUAACUACGUGCCAGCCGCCGCGGUAA